RNAcentral lists this ribosomal RNA (505 nucleotides) under uncultured bacterium. RNAcentral describes it as "partial 16S ribosomal RNA". It matches the Rfam family "Bacterial small subunit ribosomal RNA", at positions 28 to 507 of the family's 1533-position model. The record is from RNAcentral.
GACGAACGCUGGCGGCGUGCCUAAUACAUGCAAGUAGAACGCACAGUUUAUACCGUAGCUUGCUCCACCAUAAACUGUGAGUUGCGAACGGGUGAGUAACGCGUAGGUAACCUGCCUGGUAGCGGGGGAUAACUAUUGGAAACGAUAGCUAAUACCGCAUAAUAUUAAUUAUUGCAUGAUAAUUGAUUGAAAGAUGCAAUUGCAUCACUACCAGAUGGACCUGCGUUGUAUUAGCUAGUAGGUGAGGUAACGGCUCACCUAGGCGACGAUACAUAGCCGACCUGAGAGGGUGAUCGGCCACACUGGGACUGGGACACGGCCCAGACUCCUACGGGAGGCAGCAGUAGGGAAUCUUCGGCAAUGGACGAAAGUCUGACCGAGCAACGCCGCGUGAGUGAAGAAGGUUUUCGGAUCGUAAAGCUCUGUUGUAAGAGAAGAACGGGUGUGAGAGUGGAAAGUUCACACUGUGACGGUAUCUUACCAGAAAGGGACGGCUAACUACGUG